UACAGAGGGUGCGAGCGUUGUCCGGAAUCACUGGGCGUAAAGGGCGCGUAGGCGGCAUCUUAAGCGUGGGGUGAAAGCGCGGGGCUCAACCCCGCGGCGGCCGUGCGAACUGGGGAGCUGGAGCACGGCAGAGGCAGGCGGAAUUCCGGGUGUAGCGGUGGAAUGCGUAGAGAUCCGGAAGAACACCGGUGGCGAAGGCGGCCUGCUGGGACGUGGCUGACGCUGAGGCGCGACAGCGUGGGGAGCAAACAGG
Molecule: ribosomal RNA, 253 nt
Filed under: uncultured bacterium
Lineage: Bacteria
Description: partial 16S ribosomal RNA
Rfam family: Bacterial small subunit ribosomal RNA
Source: RNAcentral